Paramacrobiotus metropolitanus is the source of this 688-nucleotide long non-coding RNA. RefSeq lists it as uncharacterized. Lineage: Eukaryota; Metazoa; Tardigrada; Eutardigrada; Parachela; Macrobiotidae. The record is from RefSeq and is a predicted model, not a curated record. The transcript has 2 exons.
GCAGCUCAUCAGUAAUGCUCGUGACUAAGAACCGGAGAAGGCGGAAGUACGUGAACUGUACAUGUGUGCAUUAUAGUAUCGGAGUGAAAAUAAGUUGUCAGUUUUUCCUUAUAAAUGGGUUGGUGUUUUCUGUUGGAAUUAAACACUCGUCAGUGCCUACAUUGAUUUUUAUCUAUUACGACAAGGACUUCUUUGUGUUGCACAAUACCGCGAUCAUGAGCCGCAUACGGUCGAAUGUAAUUAUUGGCUGUGCAGUGCUCCUGUUACUCUGUGGGUCAAUUCACUCGGGUAAGCCAGCCAAAACCAGCAACACAGGUGCAGCCGCCGUAAUGCCACACGAUAACGCCACCGACACCAACGCCGGCUCCGGGGAACUGAAAGCGAAACCGCAGCCACAAUCAGGUAACGGCACAUCCCACGGGAAUCCCGCUUCAGCACGCUUCGGUCUGACACCCCCUGUACUGAAAGGUUGAUAGAGAAGCUUAUUGGCAGUGUGAUUGAGUGACUAAGUCAACAGAGUGAUUGUGGUAGAUAUUGAUCAUUGAUUAUUGCGUGGGUUUUUUCUUUGCACUAUAGACUGUCUAAAUUUUUAUAGCAGUUGUUAUUAGGGGCCAGCGCUAACCCAAUUGGCUAAGGACCCCUAAAACUGUUUUUUGAGAAAAAAGCAAAAAACGAAAAGCAAACAAAA